CUGUUCGGGGCGUGAGCCCCUGAGGCCCUCGGGCCAACACACCCUUUGCUUUGGAGCACCUGUGUUUCCUCGGCGUGUUCGCUCGCCGCAGGACCUCUACAAAACCUUUGCAGUGCCCGUCUCUGUCAUAAUGUAAUAAAAUGUCA
This 146-nucleotide unclassified non-coding RNA is filed under the name uncultured fungus. RNAcentral's name for it is "sequence contains ITS1". Lineage: Eukaryota; Fungi. The record is from RNAcentral.